Molecule: ribosomal RNA, 1562 nt
Filed under: Vibrio splendidus
Lineage: Bacteria; Pseudomonadati; Pseudomonadota; Gammaproteobacteria; Vibrionales; Vibrionaceae
Description: partial 23S ribosomal RNA
Rfam family: Bacterial large subunit ribosomal RNA
Source: RNAcentral
ACUCCUAAGGCGAGGCCGAAAGGCGUAGUCGAUGGGAAACGGGUUAAUAUUCCCGUACUUCUUACAAUUGCGAUGGGGGGACGGAGAAGGCUAGGUGGGCCUGGCGACGGUUGUCCAGGUUCAAGUAUGUAGGCGGAAAGUUUAGGUAAAUCCGGACUUUCAUUAACGCUGAGAUACGAUGUCGAGCUACUACGGUAGUGAAGUCAUUGAUGCCAUGCUUCCAGGAAAAGCCUCUAAGCUUCAGAUUGUAAGGAAUCGUACCCCAAACCGACACAGGUGGUCGGGUAGAGAAUACCAAGGCGCUUGAGAGAACUCGGGUGAAGGAACUAGGCAAAAUGGUACCGUAACUUCGGGAGAAGGUACGCUCUUAUCAGUGAAGUCCCUUGCGGAUGGAGCAGACGAGAGUCGCAGAUACCAGGUGGCUGCAACUGUUUAUUAAAAACACAGCACUGUGCAAAAUCGUAAGAUGACGUAUACGGUGUGACGCCUGCCCGGUGCCGGAAGGUUAAUUGAUGGGGUUAGACUUCGGUCGAAGCUCUUGAUCGAAGCCCCGGUAAACGGCGGCCGUAACUAUAACGGUCCUAAGGUAGCGAAAUUCCUUGUCGGGUAAGUUCCGACCUGCACGAAUGGCGUAAUGAUGGCCACGCUGUCUCCACCCGAGACUCAGUGAAAUUGAAAUCGCUGUGAAGAUGCAGUGUACCCGCGGCUAGACGGAAAGACCCCGUGAACCUUUACUACAGCUUGGCACUGAACAUUGAACCUACAUGUGUAGGAUAGGUGGGAGACUAUGAAAUUGCGUCGCUAGAUGUGAUGGAGUCGUCCUUGAAAUACCACCCUUGUAGUUUUGAUGUUCUAACGUUGGUCCCUGAAUCGGGAUUACGGACAGUGCCUGGUGGGUAGUUUGACUGGGGCGGUCUCCUCCCAAAGAGUAACGGAGGAGCACGAAGGUGGGCUAAACACGGUUGGACAUCGUGUGGUUAGUGCAAUGGCAUAAGCCCGCUUGACUGCGAGAAUGACAAUUCGAGCAGGUGCGAAAGCAGGUCAUAGUGAUCCGGUGGUUCUGAAUGGAAGGGCCAUCGCUCAACGGAUAAAAGGUACUCCGGGGAUAACAGGCUGAUACCGCCCAAGAGUUCAUAUCGACGGCGGUGUUUGGCACCUCGAUGUCGGCUCAUCACAUCCUGGGGCUGAAGUCGGUCCCAAGGGUAUGGCUGUUCGCCAUUUAAAGUGGUACGCGAGCUGGGUUUAGAACGUCGUGAGACAGUUCGGUCCCUAUCUGCCGUGGGCGUUGGAAAAUUGAAAGGGGCUGCUCCUAGUACGAGAGGACCGGAGUGGACGAACCUCUGGUGUUCGGGUUGUCAUGCCAAUGGCAUUGCCCGGUAGCUAAGUUCGGAAUCGAUAACCGCUGAAAGCAUCUAAGCGGGAAGCGAGCCUUGAGAUGAGUUUUCCCUGGCACUAUAAGUGUCCUAAAGGGUUGUCGUAGACUACGACGUUGAUAGGCAGGGUGUGUAAGUGCUGCGAGGCAUUGAGCUAACCUGUACUAAUUGCCCGUGAGGCUUAACCAU